UAGGGAAUCUUCGGCAAUGGACGAAAGUCUGACCGAGCAACGCCGCGUGAGUGAAGAAGGUUUUCGGAUCGUAAAACUCUGUUGUUCGAGAAGAACAAGGACGUUAGUAACUGAACGUCCCCUGACGGUAUCUAACCAGAAAGCCACGGCUAACUACGUGCCAGCAGCCGCGGUAAUACGUAGGUGGCAAGCGUUGUCCGGAUUUAUUGGGCGUAAAGCGAGCGCAGGCGGUUUCUUAAGUCUGAUGUGAAAGCCCCCGGCUCAACCGGGGAGGGUCAUUGGAAACUGGGAGACUUGAGUGCAGAAGAGGUGAGUGGAAUUCCAUAUGUAGCGGUGAAAUGCGUAGAUAUAUGGAGGAACACCAGUGGCGAAGGCGGCUCUCUGGUCUGUAACUGACGCUGAGGCUCGAAAGCGUGGGGAGCAAACAGG
Molecule: ribosomal RNA, 429 nt
Filed under: Gemmatimonadota bacterium
Lineage: Bacteria; Pseudomonadati; Gemmatimonadota
Description: Gemmatimonadetes bacterium partial 16S ribosomal RNA
Rfam family: Bacterial small subunit ribosomal RNA
Source: RNAcentral